Nymphaea colorata (pocket water lily) is the source of this 156-nucleotide long non-coding RNA. RefSeq lists it as uncharacterized. The record is from RefSeq and is a predicted model, not a curated record. Lineage: Eukaryota; Viridiplantae; Streptophyta; Magnoliopsida; Nymphaeales; Nymphaeaceae. The transcript is spliced from 3 exons.
CUAGCAUCCAGAUCUAAUAGUUUACUGCUUACAAAACCCGAUAAUGAGGCAAUUCAUGAGAACAUGGAAGGAGAGUCUGGAGCAUCAGUUGUUAGAGGAGUUGUUGACAGUCUCAAAAUCAUUACCAGACAAGCUAGUCUGACAUUUGGAGAAUAU